GGUCGUAUCCCCAAACCCUAGCCUCAUUCUCACCCGACGCACACACAGCAAGCAGCCGCCGCUCUUCAUGGCCCAACGCCGGUGCCGUAGCAUGCGCCACGGAGAAGGUGAGGGCGCUGCUACACCACCCUCGCCGGUGUUCACGCGCAGCGAGUGGAAACAUGGCGGGGGCAGAUAACGCACGCACGCGAGGAGGAAAUCCACGGCGGUGGCGCUCGUUGCUUCUUCGGCGGCGAGGUCGCACAAGGCACGAGAACCGAUAGCCGAGACGCCUAGCCUCCCAGAAAUACCUGCUGGCUCAUAGUGAAGACCCUCGCCUGCUCGAUGCAGACGUGUACGGAUGUCGUAGAGGUAGAGGAUGUCGGACGCCGUCUUAGGGAUGGCCAGCGGUCGGACGCAGGACUUCAGGGACACUCCCAAGCAACCCUAAACGAGUUAGGGAAGACCGCAUGCGCCGGGUCCGCGUGCGAGCUGGCCAGAGGGCGAAGACUGGGGUUUUGGCUUUCCUUGUGGGAAGAAUGGCGGUUUACUGUUCCUUCUGUAUACAACAAGAUAGAAUAGGGCUCCUGAUUUUAUUUCCAAAAAAACUCGAUUUUAUUAACUUUCCAUUCCGUUUGUUAAUUACUCUCUAUUUUUGAACUUGGUACUCAUAUAUUUUUAUAUUUUUAAACUUUAUUCAUUCAACUGUCAGCUUAACAUUUCCACUGAGUUCAAAUGUCAUCACUAAUUUGCUUAAAGUUUGACAUUUUCCAAUGGAUAAAGCUAAAGUUGCUCUCUCUCUCUCUCUCAAAUUUGUCAUGUGUCUAGUUAUUUUCUCUUUUGUUUGCUCGUAUUACGGUAUGUUCCAUUAUAUCUGUAGCUAAUAGAGUAAAUCAUAUUGAAUGCUACUUCUUCUCUGAUCUGUAGUUUUGCUUGUAGUUUUUUCACCUUUUUCAUAUACUGAGUAAGGCUUUUCUAUAUGUCAGUUUCUUUAAAUGCCUAUGAUGAUUAUAAAAUUGGUUCAAUAACUUGAAUGCCAUGAGCUUGUGAGGUACUGGACGGGUGCUUCUUUAUGUGUUUUGUAGUUGUCAUGAUUGUCAUCAAACCGUGAGACACGUCCAUUCCCAAUUAACACCUUGCUUAUGAUGAGGUGAUGGCUGGGAUGGACGUGUCUCACGCUUCCAUGGCUGUCACGAUCUUGGUUUGCUUCUAUCUGUUUGUUUCUUAUGCUCGGAGAUCAUGGCAUUGAAAAAAUGAUAAUAAAUCUGAGGCGAAUUGACUUGGAAAUGACAUGUACCCUUGUGAAUCUAUUAUGUCUAGUUUUAGAUUAGCCUGCUGAUCUCAUCGAAUAGGCAUAUCUAGUAGAUAACUUUUAUAUUGAUAUUAGUAUUAUGAGUAUCACUUGUUUGUAUUGGAAGUAGUUACUUUGUGGCAUUUUCCCUCACUUUGUGUUUCGACAGCGUGCCCCCAAGAAGCAAUUGGCUGCACCAAGAAAAAAUCAUUACUUGCUUGGAGGCGCAGGAUAAGUGAAAAUAUUUUUUCCACGUUGGCGGAGGCCCAUGGCUUUGCCAUUCCGUUUUAUCGACGGCUUGGUUGUCGUGUAAGGACGUCGGGCAACAGGCUCCCACCACCAAAGUGAGGGAGCAGUGCACAACCUCUCCCUUCUGCCCUUUUCUGGUUGCCUAAUACAUACUGAGCCAUACAGUUGACGUCCGGGAACUCCUUGUAGGCCUGACAGCACGUCUGCAGAAUGCCAGGAAAUUUCGUGGCAGAUGAAUCCCGAGCGACCGAGCCUGGAGAUAAAUUGCAGAGAUGAAUUGCACAGAUUGCUCACCUCGUCGUUGGAGGUAAAAAAUACAAGAGGGGACUUACAACAGCUGCAGGCAAAUAACAGAUGAAAUCAGGUGUCUGACGGCCAGACAGCAUGAGGAGGUAUGAAUUUGUAGGUGAGGGCACGGUCAAGUCUAGAGAAUGUGCGUGAUAGGCGGCGCGGGAUGAUCGUGUAUUUAUAUAUGGUUUGCCUUCUUGAUUUGCUAUGGAAUUGAUUAUUGUAUUCCUAAUUUAUAUGACACUGAAAGAGGUAGCUUUAUAAUUUACAGUAAUUCAUUAUUGCUUUCCUGCAUUCUGAGAAGGCAAAAUGUGACGCAUCACAUGGAAUGUGGAUUAAUUUUUGCCUUCCUUAUUUGUUGCGACUGAUUGGCUAUAGAAUUGAUUUUUGUAUUCCUAAUUUGUAUGACACCGAGAGAGAGCUUUUUGAUUUCCACUAAUUCAGUAUUGCCUUUCUGCUUUUGAGAGAACGUGUGGCACAUCACAUGGAACUAUGUAUUAAUUUUUCCCUUCCUUAUUUCA
Molecule: long non-coding RNA, 2328 nt
Organism: Sorghum bicolor (sorghum)
Lineage: Eukaryota; Viridiplantae; Streptophyta; Magnoliopsida; Poales; Poaceae
Exons: 5
Source: RefSeq, a predicted model, not a curated record